CCAAAAAGCUGAAGAGGUGUCC
RNAcentral lists this non-coding RNA (22 nucleotides) under Arabidopsis thaliana (thale cress). Lineage: Eukaryota; Viridiplantae; Streptophyta; Magnoliopsida; Brassicales; Brassicaceae. The record is from RNAcentral.